This is a long non-coding RNA of Callorhinchus milii (elephant shark), 1503 nucleotides long. RefSeq lists it as uncharacterized. The record is from RefSeq and is a predicted model, not a curated record. The transcript is spliced from 3 exons. Lineage: Eukaryota; Metazoa; Chordata; Chondrichthyes; Chimaeriformes; Callorhinchidae.
GAACAGGUUAAAACAUUCACAAUUGUAUGACUUUAUGAGCAGCAUAUUAAAAAAAACUGUACAUUCAUUAAUAAACACGCUCGCAUUGCCCAUUCAUGCACUUUUGUCCAGAUAAAAGCUAGGAGGCGUACAAGAGGUGCAGCAGAGACUGAGAGCAUUAAAGGCAGCAAUUCCAUGGAGGCUGCACAUUUUCAGGUGAUACUACAUGAUUGAUGUAAGGCAAUUGAAACAGAGUGAGUGUCAUGCGACUGAUAUGCAUUAUCAGUCUAUCACUGGUAUAUAAAUAUGCUGAUCGAUCUGUUGUACUAUGGAUUCCCAGGCAGCAUUUUCUGAUUAUGUUACCGAUUUAUAGGUUCUCUUUGUAAAUCGGGAAAGGGAGAAAUUGCCACUGUUUUGAGGAGAGGAGGAGAACAGCCAGCAGAGCAUCAGGCCAUCUUUAUUGCAAUGAGAUCAUUGGCAAGUAAGGCAAUGAUGUUUCCAUGACUCAAGCAAUGCUCUUUACUCAGAAGUGAUCUUUUUGGUUCAUAGAAAUUACAGCACAAAAGACAGGCCAUUGAUCUUAAAUUCCCUGCCACCCCUCAAUACCCUUUUAAUUUGUUCCUCUGCAAAUAUUUAUCCGAUUUCCCUUUAAAGGUUUACCUGUUAACAAGCAAAGGAAAAAAAAAUUACCGAACACAUCAUUCUGUUGAUGAUGGCCUUUUAAUAUAUUGUUAGAAUGGAUCACCCAUCCUAUUGUCAGAGACACUCAUAUUUUAAGAGACUGACGUAGCUCAGAACAGUAUCCCAGCAACCCAGAAAUUCAGCUGACGCGUAGUCUUGUCCUCUGUAUUUUUGUUUACAAUCAUCUAGGUCAUUACUUGGUUUGGGAUCACUAGUUCUUGGUUUGCUGUAUUUCAAGAUAUUGUUCUAGAUCUAAAUUCUCAAUUCAAUUUAGAAUCUUAAGUACCUCCAUAAUGUUCCCUCUGAGUGUCUCUUUAAAGUCUGACAACUUCAAGCUGAUUUUCCCAUUUUUCAUAACUCAUUGUUCUGCUCUGUAUUGACUCUAGGGCCUGGGUAGGCCACCUCUUUUGAUUUUUUUUCCAGCCGUAUUUCUUAUAUGCGCAGAAAUUCAGCAUCAUGCUUAAGAGCAACCAAAUCAAACUGAGAGUUCCACAUUUGUAUGCCAGCUCCGCUUGGAAUUUUUCCUGUGUUUGGAAUGGAAUACACACUCUAUCCCUCGACACAGGUUGGCAAGAUCCAAGGCUUGGGGACUCCACAGCUUUUGUUGUAGCUACUGGAAAUGUAUACUAUAUUUAAGAUAUGGCCUGGCAAAAGCACUGCACACUUUGGAGGAUUUCUACCAUCUGCUCCACAAUAAGAGGGAUCAUCUUCAGAGGGAAGCAGAGGGGAAAUUUGUUGGAAAUAUAGAGGGGAAAAAAUACUUGAUGUCCUGCAUAACAAAUUGACUUUUGUGACUUAUUGACAUUAAAACCAAAAAGAGCUCAGACUCCAGAGUUCAACAUA